This 925-nucleotide small RNA is filed under the name Pongo abelii (Sumatran orangutan). Its description in RNAcentral is "processed transcript". Lineage: Eukaryota; Metazoa; Chordata; Mammalia; Primates; Hominidae. The record is from RNAcentral.
AGGUCCGCGGGAGGAUGGAGCAGUGAGCGGGUCUGGGCGGCUGCCGGCAGCGCCAUGGAGACGGUACAGCUGAGGAACCCGCCGCGCCGGCAGCUGAAAAAGUUGGAUGAAGAUAGUUUAACCAAACAACCAGAAGAAGUAUUUGAUGUCUUAGAGAAACUUGGAGAAGGGUGAGUGUAAAGAAACUAUGGGUAGACCAUUGGGUCCCAGUCUUUUUCCUGCCCCAGAAGAAGCAGAAGGAUAUGAACCUUUCAGCAUUGCUCUAGGUGGGGUGGAAGGUAAAUUUACAGCUUGUGAUGUCCUUCUUCGCUUUACUCCAAUCACUAUUAUAGACAGAUUUAGUGAUUCCCGGUCUUUUUAACACGAAGAAUAUCUAUUGUUUUCUCUUUUGUAGAAUCUGUUUGAUUUUAUCUACUUAACAGAUAGCACUAAUUAGAUUAUAAUUCUAUAAGAAAUUUUUUAAUUUGCUGUUCAUAAUUUCUGAUUGGUAUGCAAUAACUGUUUCAAUGAAAAUCAAUGUAAUUUACUAUUUUAUUAUUUGCACCUUUGUGAAAUAUAGUAAAUAAAUCAAGCACUAUCACCAGCUUCGCAGCUACUUAGGAGAUCCACAAUCCUGGGUUGGGAGCCAGUGGAUUUCCUGAAACACAGAUUUGUUAAUGCGUUUAUAAAAUACUGAUUAAAUGAUAUUAGUAAUGUGUAGUGACCAUCAUUGACUUUCAUGAUACAAUUACAUAAUUUUUAUACUUUUAAAUAUCAUUUUAAUUCAAUCCUGUGUAUUUAUUCCUUCUUCUGUAAUGACCAGGAAAUUAAAAUGUUAAUAACACCAUUUCUUAAGUUUUUCUUGUUAAUUUUUGAAUAGGUGAUACAAUCAUAUGAUUCAAAAUUUAAAAAAAUAUUAAGACGCAUACAAUUAAAAAAAAAAAAA